GGUGGCUCAGCAGUAGAGUGCUUGCCUUGCAUGCAUGAAGCCCUGGGUUCGAUUCCUCAGCACCA
This 65-nucleotide transfer RNA is filed under the name Dipodomys ordii (Ord's kangaroo rat). It matches the Rfam family "tRNA". Rfam says of the family: Transfer RNA (tRNA) molecules are approximately 80 nucleotides in length. Lineage: Eukaryota; Metazoa; Chordata; Mammalia; Rodentia; Heteromyidae. The record is from Rfam by way of RNAcentral.